CACAGAGAGGUAUUGCAACUUCAUAAUGUAGCACAAAAAAAUGUUGACUACUGGCUCACACUUGUUGCCAAUGUUUUGUGAGCUACCAUAAUUACACUGGGAGAAUUAAUGAGAAAAGAACCCCAACACAUCUGAGGAGAGAAGUCUCUUGAACACAUACCUGCAUUCUCGUCGUGUUGUGGACUAUUGCCCUCUGGAGUUCAAAGCUGGGAUGAGCGUUUUCCCAACGUGUCUUUCCCGUUCAGACAGAAGAUUGCACUAUUCGCCUCUUUUGCCUCGGCUGAGUGAGUUUACAACUAAGAAGGAAUUUUUCUGGCUUUCACUGAGCCCGGUUUACCCGCAGAGACAGCACUGAAAUAUUUGCUCCUUGGAAUUACAUCUUUUUCUUUGGGGUCAAGCCAGCAGUGGAGCUAAUCCUUGUUCAUUACAUCAUUAAUGCUUAUCUCAGCCAUAGAACUAUUUUAAAGACA
This is a long non-coding RNA of Passer domesticus (house sparrow), 470 nucleotides long. RefSeq lists it as uncharacterized. The record is from RefSeq and is a predicted model, not a curated record. Lineage: Eukaryota; Metazoa; Chordata; Aves; Passeriformes; Passeridae. The transcript is spliced from 2 exons.